GUGAGUAACACGUAUCCAACCUACCCUUAAGUUGGGGAUAACUAGUCGAAAGAUUAGCUAAUACCGAAUAAUAACAUCAAUAUCGCAUGAGAAGCAUGUAGAAAGUCGCGUUUGCGACGCUUUUGGAUGGGGGUGCGACGUAUCAGAUAGUUGGUGAGGUAAUGGCUCACCAAGUCAAUGACGCGUAGCUGUACUGAGAGGUAGAACAGCCACAAUGGGACUGAGACACGGCCCAUACUCCUACGGGAGGCAGCAGUAGGGAAUUUUUCACAAUGGGCGAAAGCCUUAUGAAGCAAUGCCGCGUGAACGAUGAAGGUCUUAUAGAUUGUAAAGUUCUUUUAUAUGGGAAGAAACGCUAAGAUAGGAAAUGAUUUUAGUUUGACUGUACCAUUUGAAUAAGUAUCGGCUAACUAUGUGCCAGC
This 422-nucleotide ribosomal RNA is filed under the name uncultured Ureaplasma sp. Its description in RNAcentral is "bacterial SSU rRNA". It matches the Rfam family "Bacterial small subunit ribosomal RNA", at positions 106 to 512 of the family's 1533-position model. The record is from RNAcentral. Lineage: Bacteria; Bacillati; Mycoplasmatota; Mycoplasmoidales; Mycoplasmoidaceae.